Molecule: non-coding RNA, 270 nt
Organism: Cinara cedri
Lineage: Eukaryota; Metazoa; Arthropoda; Insecta; Hemiptera; Aphididae
Source: the annotation of a GenBank genome assembly
UUUUUUUUCGAAAUCCGAGAAAUAGGAACGAAAAUCAUCGGCGGUUGUUUUUCCGUGUAGACACACCGUCGUCAACACAUAUAUUGAGCUCGGCGAUCGGUUAUCUGCAGCGUCGCUCUGAGGUCGCAUCAUUGCGCCGUUAUCGCCGUGAUAAAGCGUCUUCUCUGUAGCGCGGAAACCGACGUUUUACAAAAGACCAGACCGGCCGCGCGAAAAUAAUCGUUGUAAACGACAUGGCCGCGAAGACGUCUGUAAACUCGCAACGGGACC